This 253-nucleotide ribosomal RNA is filed under the name uncultured bacterium. Its description in RNAcentral is "partial 16S ribosomal RNA". It matches the Rfam family "Bacterial small subunit ribosomal RNA", at positions 524 to 776 of the family's 1533-position model. The record is from RNAcentral.
UACGUAGGCAGCGAGCGUUGUUCGGAUUUACUGGGCGUAAAGCGUGCGUAGGCGGUGGUGCAAGUCUGUUGUGAAAUCUCCCGGCUUAACCGGGAGGGUGCGGCGGAAACUGUGCUGCUGGAGUACGGGAGAGGCAGGCGGAAUUCCUGGUGUAGCGGUGAAAUGCGUAGAUAUCAGGAGGAACACCCGUGGUGUAGACGGCCUGCUGGACCGUAACUGACGCUGAGGCACGAAAGCGUGGGGAGCAAACAGG